This 359-nucleotide ribosomal RNA is filed under the name uncultured Phialina. RNAcentral's name for it is "partial small subunit ribosomal RNA". It matches the Rfam family "Eukaryotic small subunit ribosomal RNA", at positions 30 to 432 of the family's 1831-position model. Lineage: Eukaryota; Ciliophora; Litostomatea; Haptorida; Lacrymariidae. The record is from RNAcentral.
GCUUGUCUCAAAGAUUAAGCCAUGCAUGUCUAAGUAUAAAUAACUACACAGUAAAACUGCGAAUGGCUCAUUAAAACAGUUAUAGUUUAUUUGAUACAAAAAAUGGAUAACUGUAGAAAAACUAGAGCUAAUACAUGCCGUAGCCGCAAGGUUGUAUUUAUUAGAUAUACCCAGUAGGUGAUUCAUAAUAACUAUGCAAAUCGUAACUAUGUUGCGAUAAAUCAUUCAAGUUUCUGCCCUAUCAGCUUUCGAUGGUAGUGUAUUGGACUACCAUGGCUUUCACGGGUAACGGAGAAUUAGGGUUCGAUUCCGGAGAAGGAGCCUGAGAAACGGCUACUACAUCUAAGGAAGGCAGCAGG